This 397-nucleotide ribosomal RNA is filed under the name uncultured bacterium. RNAcentral's name for it is "partial 16S ribosomal RNA". It matches the Rfam family "Bacterial small subunit ribosomal RNA", at positions 523 to 918 of the family's 1533-position model. The record is from RNAcentral.
AUACGUAGGGGGCGAGCGUUGUCCGGAAUGAUUGGGCGUAAAGGGCGCGUAGGCGGCCCGGUAAGUCUGGAGUGAAAGUCCUGUUUUUAAGAUGGGAAUUGCUUUGGAUACUGCCGGGCUUGAGUGCAGGAGAGGUAAGUGGAAUUCCCAGUGUAGCGGUGAAAUGCGUAGAGAUUGGGAGGAACACCAGUGGCGAAGGCGGCUUACUGGACUGUAACUGACGCUGAGGCGCGAAAGAGUGGGGAGCAAACAGGAUUAGAUACCCUGGUAGUCCACACUGUAAACGAUGAAUGCUAGGUGUAGGGGGUAUCGACCCCUUCUGUGCCGCAGUCAACACAAUAAGCAUUCCGCCUGGGGAGUACGGCCGCAAGGUUGAAACUCAAAGGAAUUGACGGGG